GCGGCCAAUCCCCUCGUCGCCUGAUCGCCGGAGACGCGCACCUGCAAGAAAAAUCCUCACUGACCGGAGAUGCCUCCAGUGGAGACCCUCCGACGGUCAAGUCAGAGAGAAGACUAGGCAACAGUGAAAAAAAUCAGGGGGCUCAGCGAGAGAGAGAGAGAGCUCUUCGAGAGCUUACCAAAACUGUUGCCUUACCCCAUUUUAUAGUAGAAUGCGGUAUGGUCCCGCCAUUAAUGGUGCAGACAACUAGAGAGUUGUUAAAUCAUCGGGAGCUAUCAGAUCGGCGUGGGUUGUCAGGUCAUUAGAAUUAACCCAUAUCCUUAGC
RNAcentral lists this long non-coding RNA (325 nucleotides) under Elaeis guineensis (African oil palm). RNAcentral's name for it is "long non-coding RNA (EGUI_LNC035997)". The record is from RNAcentral. Lineage: Eukaryota; Viridiplantae; Streptophyta; Magnoliopsida; Arecales; Arecaceae.